RNAcentral lists this unclassified non-coding RNA (21 nucleotides) under Mus musculus (house mouse). RNAcentral describes it as "oocyte_clustered_small_RNA3595". The record is from RNAcentral. Lineage: Eukaryota; Metazoa; Chordata; Mammalia; Rodentia; Muridae.
UCCUGAUUGGCUGCAUCCCAA